RNAcentral lists this ribosomal RNA (301 nucleotides) under uncultured bacterium. RNAcentral describes it as "partial 16S ribosomal RNA". It matches the Rfam family "Bacterial small subunit ribosomal RNA", at positions 509 to 809 of the family's 1533-position model. The record is from RNAcentral.
CAGUAGCCACGGUAAUACGUAGGUGGCGAGCGUUGUCCAGAAUCAUUGGGCGUAAAGGGAGCGCAGGCGGGCAUGUAAGUCUUUCUUAAAAGUUCGGGGCUCAACCCCGUGAUGGGAAAGAAACUACAUGUCUUGAGUACAGGAGAGGAAAGCGGAAUUCCCAGUGUAGCGGUGAAAUGCGUAGAUAUUGGGAGGAACACCAGUGGCGAAGGCGGCUUUCUGGACUGCAACUGACGCUGAGGCUCGAAAGCCAGGGGAGCGAACGGGAUUAGAUACCCCAGUAGUCCCUGUCUCUUAUACA